GGUGGAGGACGUGGCAUGAGACUUGCUAAAGAGCCUGAUGAAUUUGUGAAGUUGUUGCAGCAAGCCAAGAGUGAGGCUGCAGCUGCAUUUGGGAAUGACGGUGUUUAUCUUGAAAAGUAUGUCCAAAAUCCAAGGCAUAUUGAGUUUCAGGUUCUUGCAGAUAAGUAUGGAAAUGUUGUUCAUUUUGGAGAGCGUGAUUGCAGCAUUCAGAGACGGAACCAAAAGCUUCUAGAGGAGGCACCAUCUCCUGCCUUAACCCCCGAGUUAAGGAAGG
RNAcentral lists this unclassified non-coding RNA (274 nucleotides) under Hevea brasiliensis (rubber tree). Lineage: Eukaryota; Viridiplantae; Streptophyta; Magnoliopsida; Malpighiales; Euphorbiaceae. The record is from RNAcentral.